This 227-nucleotide long non-coding RNA is filed under the name Setaria viridis. RNAcentral describes it as "long non-coding RNA (SVIR_LNC010433)". Lineage: Eukaryota; Viridiplantae; Streptophyta; Magnoliopsida; Poales; Poaceae. The record is from RNAcentral.
GGAGGGAGUACUUUGCCAUGAAUUAUUAGUAGCUAGCUCUCGACAGUUUGAAGGACCUAACUAGACAUGUAAAAAUUCGGAUUAGUUGUUCGUGCUAGAGCAUGCAUGCAUGAUAUCCCGGGCGGAUCGUCUCAGGUUCCUCAGGAGAUUUGCUUUACCGACUUCAUAAUUCUGUUUGUAUUUUAGUCCUUUUUCUCCACCCAUGAAAACAUCUUAGUAAAUAAAGC